ACAAUGUAGUCUUUCCUUAUCCAGAUGAUUUAAGAAAGGCUCUCGUAAUCCUCUGGUGAUGGCUCAGAUUUGGCUACAAAAUUGUCGGUUUUCAAUAGAGUAAAGACAAACUGCAGAAGACCAAUAUGACUUUGCAGCCUCAAGUCUCCAUAAGUUGUUCCAGAACCGGAGACAGUCUGCUGGCUGACAUCCCACCGCCUUGGACAAGAUGCCUGGGCAUAGGGAUACAUUAUGGAGUGUCAGCGCCGGCGGCCGCAACAAACAGGACGAGGAGACCAGCGGUUGCGGGUGACGAAAGGUGAAGUAGGAUCUGAGAACAAAGAAAUGAGAAGUCUCGUGUGGAGAUGUCAGACAGAGUUCUCCAGAGUCACUUGCGGAGUGUCUUGCUGGGUGUUUAUUGUGGUGAAGAGGAAAAUUUUUCAAAAUAGAGGAAGUAAAUAAAA
Hyla sarda is the source of this 443-nucleotide long non-coding RNA. RefSeq lists it as uncharacterized. Lineage: Eukaryota; Metazoa; Chordata; Amphibia; Anura; Hylidae. The record is from RefSeq and is a predicted model, not a curated record. The transcript is spliced from 3 exons.